AUCCAGCUGACGAGUCCCUAAUAGGACGAAACGCAUGUCCUGAAU
Molecule: non-coding RNA, 45 nt
Filed under: Schistosoma mansoni
Lineage: Eukaryota; Metazoa; Platyhelminthes; Trematoda; Strigeidida; Schistosomatidae
Source: RNAcentral